AGUAACGGCGAGUGAAGCGGCAACAGCUCAAAUUUGAAAUCUGGCGUCUUCGGCGUCCGAGUUGUAAUUUGCAGAGGGCGCUUUGGCAUUGGCAGCGGUCCAAGUUCCUUGGAACAGGACGUCACAGAGGGUGAGAAUCCCGUACGUGGUCGCUAGCCUUUACCGUGUAAAGCCCCUUCGACGAGUCGAGUUGUUUGGGAAUGCAGCUCUAAAUGGGAGGUAAAUUUCUUCUAAAGCUAAAUACUGGCCAGAGACCGAUAGCGCACAAGUAGAGUGAUCGAAAGAUGAAAAGCACUUUGGAAAGAGAGUUAAAAAGCACGUGAAAUUGUUGAAAGGGAAGCGCUUGCAGCCAGACUUGCCUGUAGUUGCUCAUCCGGGUUUCUACCCGGUGCACUCUUCUAUAGGCAGGCCAGCAUCAGUUUGGGCGGUUGGAUAAAGGUCUCUGUCAUGUACCUCUCUUCGGGGAGAACUUAUAGGGGAGACGACAUGCAACCAGCCUGGACUGAGGUCCGCGCAUCUGCUAGGAUGCUGGCGUAAUGGCUGUAAGCGGCCCGUCUUGAAACACGGACCAAGGAGUCUAACAUCUAUGCGAGUGUUUGGGUGUCAAGCCCGAGCGCGUAAUGAAAGUGAACGGAGGUGGGAACCUUUCGGGGUGCACCAUCGACCGAUCCUGAUGUCUUCGGAUGGAUUUGAGUAAGAGCAUAGCUGUUGGGACCCGAAAGAUGGUGAACUAUGCUUGAAUAGGGUGAAGCCAGAGGAAACUCUGGUGGAGGCUCGCAGCGGUUCUGACGUGCAAAUC
This 799-nucleotide ribosomal RNA is filed under the name Didymella coffeae-arabicae. RNAcentral's name for it is "eukaryotic LSU rRNA". It matches the Rfam family "Eukaryotic large subunit ribosomal RNA", at positions 82 to 899 of the family's 3401-position model. Lineage: Eukaryota; Fungi; Ascomycota; Dothideomycetes; Pleosporales; Didymellaceae. The record is from RNAcentral.